GAGUUUGAUCCUGGCUCAGGACGAACGCUGGCGGCGUGCCUAACACAUGCAAGUCGAACGGAGUUAAUGAUUUCGGUUAUUAACUUAGUGGCGCACGGGUGAGUAACGCGUGAGCAAUCUGCCUUUAAGAGGGGGAUAACAGUCGGAAACGGCUGCUAAUACCGCAUAAAGCAUCAAAUUCGCAUGUUUUUGAUGCCAAAGGAGCAAUCCGCUUUUAGAUGAGCUCGCGUCUGAUUAGCUGGUUGGCGGGGUAACGGCCCACCAAGGCGACGAUCAGUAGCCGGACUGAGAGGUUGAACGGCCACAUUGGGACUGAGACACGGCCCAGACUCCUACGGGAGGCAGCAGUGGGGAAUAUUGCGCAAUGGGGGAAACCCUGACGCAGCAACGCCGCGUGAUUGAAGAAGGCCUUCGGGUUGUAAAGAUCUUUAAUCAGGGACGAAAUAAAUGACGGUACCUGAAGAAUAAGCUCCGGCUAACUACGUGCCAGCCGCCGCGGUAAUUC
RNAcentral lists this ribosomal RNA (505 nucleotides) under uncultured bacterium. RNAcentral's name for it is "bacterial SSU rRNA". It matches the Rfam family "Bacterial small subunit ribosomal RNA", at positions 9 to 526 of the family's 1533-position model. The record is from RNAcentral.